AGUUGAGAGAUAGAAAUAUAAAAACUACAAUCAGUAUUUUUUAGAAAACAGAGGAUGUAUAUAUGGGUGAUUCUUUAACUAUGGUACUUUUCUUGUCCCUGGAUGAAAUAAUAAAAACUAAAAAACAUUUCUUCUUUUUUGUUUUUGUCAUACUUACUCCACCCUAAGGGGAACUUAUAAAAAAUGUAUCAUGGCUCAAUCAUUCUUUUUAUUAUAUAAUAUGAGGCCUUUUAUGCAUGGUUUUUACUGUUUUCCCUCUGUCCCUAAGCCAGACUUUGUAUCUUCAACCUCGCUUAAUUCUAAAUUAAAUAUUUAAAUAAUGUAGAUUUCAAGUACAAAUGAUAAAAUACCAUUUAUUUCAAUUCUACAUAUUAUAUAUUGUGAUACAUAUUCACAUUUUCCUAUAUUUUUCAUAAAUAGAACCCUUGUCCCUUGGGGUCACUGUCAUUUCCACCACACUGUACAAAAUAGAAUCCUGGGAUCAGUGUUUUAGGUUUGUAUAUUUAGUAACCAUAGCAACAGAAACUCCACAGUGGAACACAUGGCUGGAUGAAAUGGUGUCCUCUACAGGGGGUAAUGAAAAGAAGAAAAAUCAAGAUGGCAAGCAAUACCACAGCACAGAGGUCAAGAUCAUACAGAGAAAGAAUAAAAUCAGAUCCACUUAAAUAUGCAGAGUCCCUCAAGAAGGACAGAGAAAGAUACCUGAAGAAAAAGCAACAAGGUGUUGUUAAAUCUGUGACAGAAAUGCCGAAAAGAGAACAACGAAAAAUGAGAAGACAGUGGCGAAUUUCUCAACGAAACAGACGUAGGAAAUGGAAAAUGGUCUCAGCAGUGAAUAGUUUCAUGGCACAUACAACACCACCACCAUCACCAGACAACAUGAGUGUUAAUGCAGAAGACAUCCCUGAAACACCUCAGCUGUGUGAGCCUACACCAGAGAGAACUCCACAGAGGAAAAGAGGGAGAAAAAAGGUUGCGAAGGCAAAAGCAAAGGUGUACAGAGAUCUUAAUGACAUUAAACAAAAGCUUGAGGAUGCCCUCAGAAAAGUUGAAAAAUACAAAAAAGAAGUAAUCGACUGAAGAAGAACCUGGGGAUCCUAGAGUCACCUAAAAUGAAAACAAAGCAACAGAUGCAGCAAGAAAGCAAGCAAUUAAAGAAGACACUCCUAUUCCAUAACACCAUUAUGUCAGAAAUAAGAAAAAAGUAUCAGAAUGUUGACAAUCGUAAAGCUCGGCAACUGAUCUCCAAACUUGUGGCUGGCAAGAUCUAAAAAAAAUACCGCCUGGUCACCAUGGCCAAGAAGGAGUUUGGAUUCUCUACAAAACUAAUCAGGACAAACAUGACAAGGGCCGACAAACUCAAAUACACCCGCAAAACACAACGAAACAGAGUCAGCCAAGAAGUGAAGGAAAAGAUAACAACGUUUUUAGAACGCGACGAUAACAGUAGGGCCACUACUGGAAAGAAAGAGACAAUUACAAAGAUGAUGUUCUUUUAGAUUGUCUCUACAAGACCGGAGGAGAUUUCUUGGCGAGUUCUCAGCUGCUUUUGUGCAGAUCCCCAUCCUUGCCAGUGUUUUGGUCUCAAAAAAGUCCACAUACUGGGAGCACAGAACAUGGAGACUGCAUUGGGAUCACCAAGUUCAAGCACACUUACCAGCACAUCUCAACCCAUCAUAGACCUGCAUGAGGGACUGAUUGGAAGUUGGUGUGUGGUACGGUAUGAUGGGGAUCCUUACCCUGGCAUUAUACAGGAUGUGGACCCUGAGGGUUGUGCUCUGGUGAGAACCAUGAGUCAUAUUGGUAAAAACAAGUUCUUCUGGCCUAUGAGAGACGAUGUUAUUUGGUACCGGCCAGAAGAUGUGAUCAGGCUGGUCCCAGAGCCUCAACCAGUAACAAAGAGGCAUGUGAUGGUGGAGCCAACAGUUUGGAAAGAAAUAUGCUCUGUUCUUGACCAUGAAACAUAACUGAACCUCUGGCCCAUAUGCAAGUUUGACAGAUACAGUAUUUAGCAAAUACAAUGUCUAUUUAGUCAGAUUCAACUUGUUAUUCCACAUGAUUACGUUUGACAGUACAUGGAUUUACGAUAUAACACACAUGACAGUAAUGUUUAAGUACAGAGUGUUUGCUCUGGUUCAGCAUAGGCAUAUAAGUUUUCAAUUUCAAAAUAUAUUGCCUAUUUUAUCUGUUAUUCAACUGGUUAUAUUAAGGUUAUGUUAAGGUAAUGAUGACAUAAAGGGUUUGCUCUAGUUUGUACUAGUUUGCUCUAGUUCAGCAUGUAGAAAACAGUGAAGAAAUGAUUUGCUGAUUUUUAACACAAAUUCAUGUUUUCAUUUUUUGGAUUGUUUUUAAUUUAAAAAUAUUGGUGAUAUGUUUUUGUUCACAAAUGCUGUUGCUUAUUGAUUUGCUCUGGUUCACCACAUAGAGCAGUAGAAAAAAAAUUUUUAUUGGAAGUUGCCUAUCUGUCAUUUCCGCCACACACUGUCUCUUCCGCCACGCCAUGUCAUUUCCACCACAACACAUAUUUUAAAGUAAAACAUAUAAAAAACAUACAAUCAAACCAACUAUAUUCAGUGGUGUUGAUAAUUGUGCAGUUAGGGCUAAGAUUUGUGUAUACACUUUGAGAAAUAUAUGAUUUUGAGCUAUGAUAAGAAAAUGAAAUGUUCCAUUGACCUAGUUUUAGGUGUUUUUUAGUGUAAACAUUGUAAAAUCUUUACAGUUACAUUUCUGAAAAAAAUAAUAAAUUACAAAUUUGAACAGA
This is a long non-coding RNA of Coregonus clupeaformis (lake whitefish), 2761 nucleotides long. RefSeq lists it as uncharacterized. The record is from RefSeq and is a predicted model, not a curated record. Lineage: Eukaryota; Metazoa; Chordata; Actinopteri; Salmoniformes; Salmonidae. The transcript has 2 exons.